Molecule: long non-coding RNA, 1582 nt
Filed under: Heterocephalus glaber (naked mole-rat)
Lineage: Eukaryota; Metazoa; Chordata; Mammalia; Rodentia; Bathyergidae
Description: lncRNA (ENSHGLG00100040464.1)
Source: RNAcentral
AGAAAGUAACCUAAUACUCGCUCACCUCCUACCACCUAGUGACAUCACGGGCUCCUCCAUUCCCUAGUCACUCCCUCACUCAACCCCACCUCAGCCCCUACAAACCCCACCCCAGUCUCUAUAAAAGACUCUCCCUGCUCCGGCCAUAUUGCUUUUUCUCUCCUUUGUUCAGAGACAGCCAGGCAGAUCUAUUCCCCUAAUAAAGGCUUGCUGGGGCCUGGUCUGGUCUUGGUCUUCAGCACUUUUACCUGACAUUUCUGGUGCCGUGACUCGGAUGGUAGAUGGUCCAUUAAUGGACGGUCCCCCCCAGGAUGGGGUUGAUUGACCUUUUGGCCAUCUCCAACGGACCUGUCUGCCGUUGCCAGGACCCUCGGGGGCUUUCUUCCUUUGCCAUUGCUGGCGCUACACAUCCACACCGGUCACCAAUGUCUGGGUGAGUUGGGAGUUCAGCCUACCUCUCCUCGGGUUCUCUGUCUCGUGUUCUCUCUCCCCCUCCGGGGACUUCUCAGAAAUCCAAGCGCUUGGUCAGAGAAACCCCCACGGCCUCUGGGCCCAGGACCGUGCCCCUGGGAGACGUCCCAUCGGCCCGCCUCCUCUCGUUCUCUCCCUUUGGGAGACUCACUCGGAGUUUGUCAAAGGAGACAAGGAUGCUUCUCCCCUUUGUCUUUCUCCCCAGGGGCUGCCUCCUCCUCACCCGCUCUAAUCAGGGGGCCCAACAAUCCAAACCCCGCCCCUCAACGCCUCUGGGCUGCCUUCUGGCACAACUCAAACCCCUCGGAUUGUUGGGACCAGACUUUAAGCCAAAAAGACUUGUUUUCUAUUGUAAUCAGGUUUGGCCUCAGUAUAAAUUAGAGAAUGGGUUUCCAGGGCCCAAAAAUGGGACUUUCAAUUUUAACUUACUGUGUGAUUUACACAACUUCUGUCAACGCAAUGGCAAAUGGUCAGAAAUCCCCUACACACAAACCUUUUCUACCUAUGCUCUUAACCCUCCCUCUGUCAAACCUGUUCUCCUUCUCAAGUACUCCUAGCCUCACCUCUCAUACCUCCCCCACUUUAUAACUCUGUUGAUAGGAAAAAGUUUUAAAGCUUAAUAGAUUAGCUAUUGAAGUAGUUGUGGAAGCAAACCAGGAACGAUUGAGGGCAUUCACCAGCCAGACAGUCAUGGAGUUCACCAUGGCAGGUUACCAGCCAGUACGAUAAAAGGAAGAGGUCCCCGCUUGCCACCGGCCCCAUGAGAUCCAGGUCUAGCCCCGAUCUUCGCCCCUGGUCAGCAGGAAGCAGCUCCAGAAGAAGAGACCUUCGCCCAACUAUCAUACAACAAAAGCCUGGAAUGAUAGGUCUCCCACCACCUCAGCAGCUGUUAUGUAUCGCAGCUGCCCUCUUCCUAUGGUGCCUUGCCCCCUCCCCUGUGUGACAUCACGCCAAGAUGGCUGCUCCCACCAAAGAACAAACCCUUCUUCCCAGCAUGCCCCUGUUCCCGCCUAGAAAGUAACCUAAUACUCGCUCACCUCCUACCAUCUAGUGACAUCACUGGCUCCUCCAUUCCCUAGUCACUGCCUCACUCAACCCCACCUCAGCCCCU